AGCGAACGUUAGCGGCGGGCCUAACACAUGCAAGUCGAACGCGAAAGGUCUUCGGACUGAGUAGAGUGGCGCACGGGUGAGUAACACGUAGGUAAUCUACCCUUUGGCGGGGAUAACGUUCCGAAAGGAGCGCUAAUACCGCAUAAGACCACGGAGUCUCCGGACGCUGUGGGAAAAGGUGGCCUCUUCUUGAAAGCUACCACCGAAGGAUGAGCCUGCGUCCCAUCAGCUAGUUGGUAAGGUAAUGGCUUACCAAGGCGAAGACGGGUAGCUGGUUUGAGAGAAUGAUCAGCCACACUGGCACUGGAACACGGGCCAGACUCCUACGGGAGGCAGCAGUGAGGAAUAUUGGGCAAUGGGCGAAAGCCUGACCCAGCACGCCGCGUGAGUGAUGAAGGCCCUCGGGUCGUAAAGCUCUGUGGAGAGGGACGAAAACCCUGGUUUCAAAUAGGCUCCAGGCUUGACGGUACCUCUUUAGCAAGCACCGGCUAACUCUGUGCCAGCAGCCG
This 509-nucleotide ribosomal RNA is filed under the name uncultured bacterium. RNAcentral's name for it is "bacterial SSU rRNA". It matches the Rfam family "Bacterial small subunit ribosomal RNA", at positions 29 to 517 of the family's 1533-position model. The record is from RNAcentral.